This 746-nucleotide ribosomal RNA is filed under the name Acinetobacter baumannii. Its description in RNAcentral is "partial 23S ribosomal RNA". It matches the Rfam family "Bacterial large subunit ribosomal RNA", at positions 643 to 1392 of the family's 2925-position model. Lineage: Bacteria; Pseudomonadati; Pseudomonadota; Gammaproteobacteria; Moraxellales; Moraxellaceae. The record is from RNAcentral.
AGGUUAACCGUAUAGGGGAGCCGUAGAGAAAUCGAGUCUUAAUAGGGCGUUUAGUUGCUGGGUAUAGACCCGAAACCAGGCGAUCUAUCCAUGAGCAGGUUGAAGGUUGGGUAACACUAACUGGAGGACCGAACCCACUGUCGUUGAAAAGCCAGGGGAUGACUUGUGGAUAGGGGUGAAAGGCUAAUCAAGCCUGGUGAUAGCUGGUUCUCCCCGAAAGCUAUUUAGGUAGCGCCUCGGACGAAUACCAUAGGGGGUAGAGCACUGUUUCGGCUAGGGGGUCAUCCCGACUUACCAAACCGAUGCAAACUCCGAAUACCUAUGAGUACUAUCCGGGAGACAGACUGCGGGUGCUAACGUCCGUAGUCAAGAGGAAAACAAUCCAGACCGCCAGCUAAGGCCCCAAAAUCAUAGUUAAGUGGGAAACGAUGUGGGAAGGCAUAGACAGCUAGGAGGUUGGCUUAGAAGCAGCCACCCUUUAAAGAAAGCGUAAUAGCUCACUAGUCGAGUCGGCCUGCGCGGAAGAUGUAACGGGGCUAAAACUAUGUGCCGAAGCUGCGGAUUUGACAUUAGUCAAGUGGUAGGGGAGCGUUCUGUAAGCCGAUGAAGGUGUAUUGAGAAGUAUGCUGGAGGUAUCAGAAGUGCGAAUGCUGACGUGAGUAACGACAAAACGGGUGAAAAACCCGUUCGCCGAAAGACCAAGGGUUCCAGUCCAACGUUAAUCGGGGCUGGGUGAGUCGACCCCU